CUUCGGGUGAGCGGCGGACGGGUUAGUAACGCGUGGGAACGUGCCCUUCUCUACGGAAUAGCCUCUGGAAACGGAGAGUAAUACCGUAUACGCCCUUUGGGGGAAAGAUUUAUCGGAGAAGGAUCGGCCCGCGUUAGAUUAGGUAGUUGGUGGGGUAACGGCCUACCAAGCCUACGAUCUAUAGCUGGUUUUAGAGGAUGAUCAGCAACACUGGGACUGAGACACGGCCCAGACUCCUACGGGAGGCAGCAGUGGGGAAUCUUAGACAAUGGGGGCAACCCUGAUCUAGCCAUGCCGCGUGAGUGAUGAAGGCCUUAGGGUCGUAAAGCUCUUUCGCCUGUGAUGAUAAUGACAGUAGCAGGUAAAGAAACCCCGGCUAACUCCGUGCCAGCAGCCGCGGUAAUACGGAGGGGGUUAGCGUUGUUCGGAAUUACUGGGCGUAAAGCGCGCGUAGGCGGAUUAGAAAGUUGGGGGUGAAAUCCCGGGGCUCAACCCCGGAACUGCCUCCAAAACUGCUAGUCUAGAGUUCGAGAGAGGUGAGUGGAAUUCCGAGUGUAGAGGUGAAAUUCGUAGAUAUUCGGAGGAACACCAGUGGCGAAGGCGGCUCACUGGCUCGAUACUGACGCUGAGGUGCGAAAGUGUGGGGAGCAAACAGGAUUAGAUACCCUGGUAGUCCACACCGUAAACGAUGAAUGCCAGUCGUCGGAUAGUAUACUAUUCGGUGACACACCUAACGGAUUAAGCAUUCCGCCUGGGGAGUACGGUCGCAAGAUUAAAACUCAAAUGAAUUGACGG
This 795-nucleotide ribosomal RNA is filed under the name uncultured Rhodobacterales bacterium. Its description in RNAcentral is "bacterial SSU rRNA". It matches the Rfam family "Bacterial small subunit ribosomal RNA", at positions 85 to 916 of the family's 1533-position model. Lineage: Bacteria; Pseudomonadati; Pseudomonadota; Alphaproteobacteria; Rhodobacterales. The record is from RNAcentral.